Molecule: ribosomal RNA, 441 nt
Filed under: uncultured bacterium
Lineage: Bacteria
Description: partial 16S ribosomal RNA
Rfam family: Bacterial small subunit ribosomal RNA
Source: RNAcentral
CCUACGGGAGGCAGCAGUGGGGGAUAUUGCACAAUGGGGGGAACCCUGAUGCAGCGACGCCGCGUGAGUGAUGGAGCGCUUCGGCGCGUAAAGCUCUAUCAGUAGGGAAGAAGAUUGACGGUACCUGACUAGGAAGCCUCGGCUAACUACGUGCCAGCAGCCGCGGUAAUACGGAGGAGGCAAGCGUUAUCCGGAUUUACUGGGUGUAAAGGGGGCGCAGGCGGCAGCGUAAGUCAGGAGUGAAAGCCCGGGGCGCAACCGCGGGACUGCUCUUGAUACUGCGCGGCUUGAGUGCAGGAGGGGUAGGCGGAAUUCCUGGUGUAGCGGUGAAAUGCGUAGAUAUCAGGAGGAACACCGGUGGCGAAGGCGGCUUACUGGACUGUAACUGACGUUGAGGCCCGAAAGCGUGGGGAGCAAACAGGAUUAGAUACCCGAGUAGUC